AUUGAACGCUGGCGGCAUGCUUUACACAUGCAAGUCGAACGGUAACAGGUUAAGCUGACGAGUGGCGAACGGGUGAGUAAUGCAUCGGAACGUGCCCGGUCGUGGGGGAUAACGCAGCGAAAGCUGCGCUAAUACCGCAUACGAUCUGAGGAUGAAAGCGGGGGACCGUAAGGCCUCGCGCGAUCGGAGCGGCCGAUGUCAGAUUAGGUAGUGGGGGGAGUAAAGGCUAACCAAGCCGACGAUCUGUAGCUGGUCUGAGAGGACGACCAGCCACACUGGGACUGAGACACGGCCCAGACUCCUACGGGAGGCAGCAGUGGGGAAUUUUGGACAAUGGGCGCAAGCCUGAUCCAGCAAUGCCGCGUGCAGGAAGAAGGCCUUCGGGUUGUAAACUGCUUUUGUACGGAGCGAAAAGACUCUCUCUAAUACAGGGGGCUCAUGACGGUACCGUAAGAAUAAGCACCGGCUAACUACGUGCCAGCCGCCGCGGUAA
This 493-nucleotide ribosomal RNA is filed under the name uncultured bacterium. Its description in RNAcentral is "partial 16S ribosomal RNA". It matches the Rfam family "Bacterial small subunit ribosomal RNA", at positions 29 to 523 of the family's 1533-position model. The record is from RNAcentral.